RNAcentral lists this ribosomal RNA (483 nucleotides) under uncultured bacterium. RNAcentral's name for it is "bacterial SSU rRNA". It matches the Rfam family "Bacterial small subunit ribosomal RNA", at positions 328 to 803 of the family's 1533-position model. The record is from RNAcentral.
UAGCGGAACUCCUACGGGAGGCAGCAGUAGGGAAUCUUCGGCAAUGGACGAAAGUCUGACCGAGCAACGCCGCGUGAGUGAAGAAGGUUUUCGGAUCGUAAAACUCUGUUGGUAGAGAAGAACGUUGGUGAGAGUGGAAAGCUCAUCAAGUGACGGUAACUACCCAGAAAGGGACGGCUAACUACGUGCCAGCAGCCGCGGUAAUACGUAGGUCCCGAGCGUUGUCCGGAUUUAUUGGGCGUAAAGCGAGCGCAGGUGGUUUAUUAAGUCUGGUGUAAAAGGCAGUGGCUCAACCAUUGUAUGCAUUGGAAACUGGUAGACUUGAGUGCAGGAGAGGAGAGUGGAAUUCCAUGUGUAGCGGUGAAAUGCGUAGAUAUAUGGAGGAACACCGGUGGCGAAAGCGGCUCUCUGGCCUGUAACUGACACUGAGGCUCGAAAGCGUGGGGAGCAAACAGGAUUAGAAACCCUAGUAGUCCACUUAUG